RNAcentral lists this ribosomal RNA (2787 nucleotides) under Escherichia coli. Its description in RNAcentral is "bacterial LSU rRNA". It matches the Rfam family "Bacterial large subunit ribosomal RNA". The record is from RNAcentral. Lineage: Bacteria; Pseudomonadati; Pseudomonadota; Gammaproteobacteria; Enterobacterales; Enterobacteriaceae.
AGCGUACACGGUGGAUGCCCUGGCAGUCAGAGGCGAUGAAGGACGUGCUAAUCUGCGAUAAGCGUCGGUAAGGUGAUAUGAACCGUUAUAACCGGCGAUUUCCGAAUGGGGAAACCCAGUGUGAUUCGUCACACUAUCAUUAACUGAAUCCAUAGGUUAAUGAGGCGAACCGGGGGAACUGAAACAUCUAAGUACCCCGAGGAAAAGAAAUCAACCGAGAUUCCCCCAGUAGCGGCGAGCGAACGGGGAGCAGCCCAGAGCCUGAAUCAGUGUGUGUGUUAGUGGAAGCGUCUGGAAAGGCGCGCGAUACAGGGUGACAGCCCCGUACACAAAAAUGCACAUACUGUGAGCUCGAUGAGUAGGGCGGGACACGUGGUAUCCUGUCUGAAUAUGGGGGGACCAUCCUCCAAGGCUAAAUACUCCUGACUGACCGAUAGUGAACCAGUACCGUGAGGGAAAGGCGAAAAGAACCCCGGCGAGGGGAGUGAAAAAGAACCUGAAACCGUGUACGUACAAGCAGUGGGAGCACGCUUAGGCGUGUGACUGCGUACCUUUUGUAUAAUGGGUCAGCGACUUAUAUUCUGUAGCAAGGUUAACCGAAUAGGGGAGCCGAAGGGAAACCGAGUCUUAACUGGGCGUUAAGUUGCAGGGUAUAGACCCGAAACCCGGUGAUCUAGCCAUGGGCAGGUUGAAGGUUGGGUAACACUAACUGGAGGACCGAACCGACUAAUGUUGAAAAAUUAGCGGAUGACUUGUGGCUGGGGGUGAAAGGCCAAUCAAACCGGGAGAUAGCUGGUUCUCCCCGAAAGCUAUUUAGGUAGCGCCUCGUGAAUUCAUCUCCGGGGGUAGAGCACUGUUUCGGCAAGGGGGUCAUCCCGACUUACCAACCCGAUGCAAACUGCGAAUACCGGAGAAUGUUAUCACGGGAGACACACGGCGGGUGCUAACGUCCGUCGUGAAGAGGGAAACAACCCAGACCGCCAGCUAAGGUCCCAAAGUCAUGGUUAAGUGGGAAACGAUGUGGGAAGGCCCAGACAGCCAGGAUGUUGGCUUAGAAGCAGCCAUCAUUUAAAGAAAGCGUAAUAGCUCACUGGUCGAGUCGGCCUGCGCGGAAGAUGUAACGGGGCUAAACCAUGCACCGAAGCUGCGGCAGCGACGCUGAUGCGUUGUUGGGUAGGGGAGCGUUCUGUAAGCCUGUGAAGGUGUGCUGUGAGGCAUGCUGGAGGUAUCAGAAGUGCGAAUGCUGACAUAAGUAACGAUAAAGCGGGUGAAAAGCCCGCUCGCCGGAAGACCAAGGGUUCCUGUCCAACGUUAAUCGGGGCAGGGUGAGUCGACCCCUAAGGCGAGGCCGAAAGGCGUAGUCGAUGGGAAACAGGUUAAUAUUCCUGUACUUGGUGUUACUGCGAAGGGGGGACGGAGAAGGCUAUGUUGGCCGGGCGACGGUUGUCCCGGUUUAAGCGUGUAGGCUGGUUUUCCAGGCAAAUCCGGAAAAUCAAGGCUGAGGCGUGAUGACGAGGCACUACGGUGCUGAAGCAACAAAUGCCCUGCUUCCAGGAAAAGCCUCUAAGCAUCAGGUAACAUCAAAUCGUACCCCAAACCGACACAGGUGGUCAGGUAGAGAAUACCAAGGCGCUUGAGAGAACUCGGGUGAAGGAACUAGGCAAAAUGGUGCCGUAACUUCGGGAGAAGGCACGCUGAUAUGUAGGUGAAGUCCCUCGCGGAUGGAGCUGAAAUCAGUCGAAGAUACCAGCUGGCUGCAACUGUUUAUUAAAAACACAGCACUGUGCAAACACGAAAGUGGACGUAUACGGUGUGACGCCUGCCCGGUGCCGGAAGGUUAAUUGAUGGGGUCAGCGCAAGCGAAGCUCUUGAUCGAAGCCCCGGUAAACGGCGGCCGUAACUAUAACGGUCCUAAGGUAGCGAAAUUCCUUGUCGGGUAAGUUCCGACCUGCACGAAUGGCGUAAUGAUGGCCAGGCUGUCUCCACCCGAGACUCAGUGAAAUUGAACUCGCUGUGAAGAUGCAGUGUACCCGCGGCAAGACGGAAAGACCCCGUGAACCUUUACUAUAGCUUGACACUGAACAUUGAGCCUUGAUGUGUAGGAUAGGUGGGAGGCUUUGAAGUGUGGACGCCAGUCUGCAUGGAGCCGGCCUUGAAAUACCACCCUUUAAUGUUUGAUGUUCUAACGUUGACCCGUGAUCCGGGUUGCGGACAGUGUCUGGUGGGUAGUUUGACUGGGGCGGUCUCCUCCUAAAGAGUAACGGAGGAGCACGAAGGUUGGCUAAUCCUGGUCGGACAUCAGGAGGUUAGUGCAAUGGCAUAAGCCAGCUUGACUGCGAGCGUGACGGCGCGAGCAGGUGCGAAAGCAGGUCAUAGUGAUCCGGUGGUUCUGAAUGGAAGGGCCAUCGCUCAACGGAUAAAAGGUACUCCGGGGAUAACAGGCUGAUACCGCCCAAGAGUUCAUAUCGACGGCGGUGUUUGGCACCUCGAUGUCGGCUCAUCACAUCCUGGGGCUGAAGUAGGUCCCAAGGGUAUGGCUGUUCGCCAUUUAAAGUGGUACGCGAGCUGGGUUUAGAACGUCGUGAGACAGUUCGGUCCCUAUCUGCCGUGGGCGCUGGAGAACUGAGGGGGGCUGCUCCUAGUACGAGAGGACCGGAGUGGACGCAUCACUGGUGUUCGGGUUGUCAUGCCAAUGGCACUGCCCGGUAGCUAAAUGCGGAAGAGAUAAGUGCUGAAAGCAUCUAAGCACGAAACUUGCCCCGAGAUGAGUUCUCCCUGACUCCUUGA